UUUUUUUUUGUUUUUUUCCUUUUACUGAUUUUCCUAUUAUGUUUUCUUUUAGUCUCUAAUUUAUUUACUAUUCUAAAAAGAUAAAAGUAGUUCCUGAUUUAGUUUAACUAAAUAUACUACUGCCAUAUUUAACUAUGGCACCCAGAUAAAAUAGUUUAGUAUUUUACUAAAUAUAAAAGGCAUUUAUUUAAUUGUUUAAGAUGUUGUUUUAUUUAUUGUAGUGUAUUAAAAUAAUUUAUGAAAAUGUGGUUUCACCACCAUAAUCAUCUAGGAUUUAUUUGCUACAUUUCGAACACUUUAGAUUUAAUAUUUGAAAACUUUUAUUGUUUGCUUGAUUUUGAAUUUGAAUUUGAAUCGGUUUCGAACUAACUCGAGUUUAUCAACAGUAAUCGAGGUGACGUGGCACCAUUAGCAGAGUUUUACUGUACCUUGAUUAUCCGGGCGUCACAAUUCUCCUCCACUACAAGAAAUCUCGUCCCGAGAUUUAAGAGGGAAGUAAAGGGGGAAGGUUCGGGUUACGAAAUUCCAGGGAGUGUUCUUGGUCUUGGUUGUUCUUCUUGAAGAGGUUGAUCCAUUACAUUGAUGUCUUCAUUUCGCUGUUUCAGGUCAUCAUGAUGAAGUUGUCGUCCUUUUGGUCGUUCUUCUCGAAGAGGUUGAUCCAUUACAUUGAUGUCUUCAUUUCGCUGUUUCAGGUCAUCAUGAUGAAGUUGGCAUCCUUUCUUCGGGAACUCCAUCGUACUUACGAAUAGGUAAGGGGCAGCUUUACAACAAUUGAAUGUUAUAAAGGAAAAUCAUCUGGGCGGGGGUAUCCCAAGAAUGAUCAUAAGAGUAUCUCUCGAGUUGAACAAGUGAAACACAUCGAGAGCAAAGUAAGAAGGUACCAUAAGAAGUUUGAAGCGGAUAGACAAUCAUCGUUGCCUGAAACAAGGCAACGGGUAUAGGUAUUGUGUUUAAUACCAGAAUUGAUGAUCACACGGAAGGUGGCUCGUGAAUUACAUACGAAGCCAAGCGUGACGAAUAACUUUAGAAACAGGGUUGUACGGGAGAGUCAGGUUUCGAUCCUGUGGAACUGUGGGUUAUGGGCCCACCGUGUGGGUUAAAAGUAGGAAGGCGGUGACGAUUUGCACGAUGAUGUAAGAAAGGCAUGUCAGAGGAUAACCUGUCAGCUAUGUCGGCAACAACAUCGAUACCAAGGGCGAGGGACGAAGAGAACCAUUUUCCUGCUCGUUGAAACGAGGCGGACCAAUAGGCAAAGUUCCCGUCCAUCGGUGGCUACCGGGAUGUCAUCAACAAUAGUAGCAGGGUCUUGCUGGCAGAAUUGUACACCUGGGUGUUUACAUAAGCAGGAGGAUAUUACUGCUUAGAUCAUACAGACCUCAAGAAGGCUAAACAGAACAAUGGAAAGGAAAAUAUGAUUAUCAGAUUAAACAGAACAAUGGAACGGAAAAUGUGUUUAAACACAUAUUGCAGGGGUAUAUCCUUCCCAAGGACAAGCAGAGCAUGAUAUCCAUGUCAGGAUAUAAUGUAGAAAACUCUUUAGGUAAGGUGAGCGAAAUUUCAUGACUUUACCCAUACAGCGGUGUUUGGAUAUUUGAGCAGGAAACAUUUAGCAUCUGGGCUUCAAAUGUUCUUGUUGAAAAUCGGAGUACCACCGACAUGCUUCGAGAUAGCAUUGACAAGGUCUUCAAGCAAAGGUCAGACUCAGGAUGCCUGAGAAGAAAAAGGUGCGACACAAAUUGACGAGAUGACAUUGUAAGAUCCUCGGGAAAUGAACUAUGGAAGCGAGUUCUGAAACAAGAGUUCAUCAUUAAUCCAAGGGGUGACGAGGGGGUGGCUGAUGGACUCAGCGACAAUUCAUCAAGAUUAACCAAAGAUGAUUUCCACAAUUAUGUGAACAAGGAGAUAACAUUAGUCAGAUCAAAUGAUAUAAUGAUGUAUGUCAGAUGACAACAUACACAAUUGAACAAUGAUAGAAAGGUGCACCCGGAAAUCUGGACUAAGUAGCACGAUCAAUGUCCGAAUGAUGAUUCAAUAAGCAAUAGACUUAGAAUGAAACUGUAGACCAAUAACUUCAAAGCAAUAGGGUUGCUAGAAGUUUAGAAUUUACACAUCACAGACCAUUUGUCGGUAUUCCGGUUAGAAACAACACAGAGACCAAGAAAUGAACGCAAAAGGCGAGAGAUAUUACUAUAUCAAGAAUUCUCAAGAGGUGGUAAAAUUACCACGACAUCCUUGACAUAGAAGGUGGUAACAUUCCAAGGUAAAGAAGAACAAAUGUUGGAUAGCAAGGAUCUCAAGGUAUAACACAAAACACGAAUAAGUUUGUGUUGAAAGGAAGGCGAUAAAGUGGUCAGUGAUAACACAAACCAUUGAGGGGCGAGGAUGGUAUUUCUCAUCAAGAAUUCAAUAUAUAUCUUGGAAGAGCUCAGGAUGUUGCUGAUGACCACGACACAUUUGUCGAGAGAUUUCAUGAAGAUGUAAUCGGUCGGCGAUGACAUCAAGUCAAAUGAUGAUGCAGCGAAAGUCAAAUAAUACUUGAAUAAGAACUCAUAAUAAGUUAUGCAGUUCCGUGAUAAUCUCGAGAUACCAGAGGGGGUAAUACUCGACGAUAGAUCAAAGUAGAGGUUGGACUGGGGUAUUGCUCUACAUAAGACAAGCGCUUAAACUUGCAUGCAAAAUGGAAUCAAGGAGAAACAUGGUCGGAACCAUGUCCACAGAUACAAGAUGAACUUAUAACAAGGGGAUAAUUAUUUUAAGAGAAGCUUCCAUGAUAAGGUAUACAUCAUUUCCAUGGGCAUGAACACAGGGUUCAGGUCGAGUCCCACUUGUUCAACGCAUAACCUUUCAUUCACCUCUCGUAUUUUGAAAAUGACAUUAGUUGUUGAAAGUUUUACCUGGUGCAAUACCAGAUAAGUAUGACCCGUGAAAUCUUCCGGGUUUGCACAGAUUAGGGAAGGCAUUAGUUCAAACCAUCGGGCAUCUUAGGAACAUAUAUCACAAACUUCAGGAGUAAAUAACACAAGCUCGAAAGUAGAGCAUGGUUGUCAAGGGAGAGGAUACAAUUUACCAAAGGCAUUAUAUACCUGUGGAAAGGCUCACAAGGUUAUUGAAUAUUAAGGACGAUGUCAAAUGAAAUCCAACAAUGGAUCUGACGAUCCACAACGGAGCUGAUGUGAGUAUCGGUACUCUACCAGAAGAAGAAAGAAUACAAGGGGAUCAGAUGAUAGAAACAACUGACUAACUCAAAGCUCAAUUGCACAGGAAUUAUGAUUCCAAGAUAAGGGAUCAGAAGCAAUGCUCUGAAUAGGGAUGGAUAAGUUGAAUAGUCUUAGAGGUACAAUCAUCGGCAAUUUGAUUGGUCGAGAACCGACUCAUGUUUAAAAUGGCGUCUGAGCCGGAAGGAUGAAUUCUAGGAUCUAGUUGAGGAUUGCGAACAUUCGCACUCAUUGAAUCAAUGGGCUCAAAAUGAUAGUGGCAAGGGAUGCCAAUAAGAUUACUAGACUUAUGGGGUUAACCAUAAUGCAAGCAAGUAAGAAUUUCUAGAACAACAUGCUGUUGAGGAUUUUCGAAAGAUCGAAUAGUAUUUCGAAGAUUUUUGUGAAACAGAUGAACAACUGGGGAGAAACAAAUCCUCGGUAUGUGUGAGGAAUAAUUUGUAGGUGUAUUCAGGCGAGCAGAAACUACAACGCAAUAGGCACAGAGUUAUCUCGUAGCAAUAGAGAGAAUUUCGGGGUAUCUUGUAAUAACAAGAUCAAUUGGGAAUAGAAGUAAGAACGACAGGUGUAAGCAUUUAUCCAUAGGGAUAUUUCAGUGGUAGGGAAUUGUAAAAGCAACGGGCACAAGGUCUCGAGAAAAUAUUGGAGAGUAUCUUCGAAAUCUUCUUGUGUAGCAGACGAUCAUCUGUAACAAGGGGCUCUCCGAGAGAAAGUUGUUAUGAGAACCUAAUGUUAGAGUUUAGCAAAUUCAUUUAACCCGAAUAGAAGAGAGAUCAGAGUCCCAGAGUAUAGACAAGGAGUAAAAGAUACUAAUACCACCCAGAUGGUGACGUGGGCUCGUAAGGCACACAGCCAUGUUAGUAAAAAGUUUAGUAAUGUCUAGACUCGACUUCGGCCAAGGAGUGUGGAAGGGGGAUUCCUACAGGUAGUCGGCUCUGAUACCAACUUGUGACGCCCCUGAUUUAAUCGUACACUAAUCAUACACGCAAACGUGUACGAUCAAGAUCAGGGACUCACGGGAAGAUAUCACAACACAACUCUACAAAUAAAAUAAGUCAUACAAGCAUCAUAUUACAAGCCAGGGGCCUCGAAGGAUCGAAUACAAGAGCUCGAUCAUAGACGAGUCAGCGGAAGCAACAACAUCUGAGUAUAGACAUAAGUUAAACAAGUUUGCCUUAAGAAGGCUAGCACAAACUGGGAUACAGAUCGAAAGAGGUGCAGGCCUCCUGCCUGGGAUCCUCAUAAACUACUCCUGGUCGUAGUCAGCGGGCUGCAUGUAGUAGUAGGAACCUCCGGUGUAGUAGGAGUCGUCGUCAACGGUGGCAUCUGGAUCCUGGACUCCAGCAUCUGGUUGCGACAACCAGAAAGAAAGAAAAGGGGGAAAAGGGGGGAGAAAGCAACCGUGAGUACUCAUCCAAAGUACUCGCAAGUAAGGAGCUACACUACAUAUGCAUGGGUAUAUGUGUAAAGGGCCAUAUCGGUGGACUGAACUGCAGAAUGCCAGAAUAAGAGGGGGGAAAGCUAGUCCUAUCGAAGACUACGCUUCUGGCAGCCUCCGUCUUGCAGCAUGUAGAAGAGAGUAGACUGAAGUCCUCCAAGUAGCAUCGCAUAGCAUAAACCUAACCGGCGAUCCUCCCCUCAUCGCCCUGUUAGAGAGCGAUCACCGGGUUGUAUCUGGCACUUGGAAGGGUGUGUUUUAUUAAGUAUCCGGUUCUAGUUGUCAUAAGGUCAAGGUACAACUCCAAGUCGCCCUGUUACCGAAGAUCACGGCUAUUCGAAUAGAUUAACUUCCCUGCAUGGGUGCACCACAUAACCCAACACGCUCGAUCCCAUUUGGCCGGGCACACUUUCCUGGGUCAUGCCCGGCCUCGGAAGAUCAACACGUCGCAGCCCUACCUAGGCACAAUAGAGAGGUCAGCACGCCGGUCUAAAUCCUAUGGCGUAGGGGUCUGGGCCCAUCACCCAUUGCAUACCUGCACGUUGCGAGGGUGGCCGGAAGCAGAACUAGCCCCCUUAAUACAAGAGCAGGCUUACGUUCCAAUCCGGCGCGCCGCUCAGUCGCUGACGUCAUGAAGGCUUCGACUGAUACCACGACGUCGAGUGCCCAUAACUGUCCCCGCGUAGAUGGUUAGUGCGUAUAGGCCAGUAGCCAGACUCAAAUCAAAUACCAAGAUCUCGUUAAGCGUGUUAAGUAUCCGCGAACUCCGACCAGGGCCAAGCCCACCUCUCUCCUAGGUGGUCUCAACCUGCCCUGUCGCUCUGCCACAAAGUAACAAUCGGGGGCCGUCGGAAACCCAGGCCCACCUCUACCGGGAUGGAGCCACCUGCCCCUUCAGCCCCCAACUCCGAACAGUAUCAUAAGUAAUGUAACAGUAUAAAGUAUAUAGCAUAUGCCCGUGAUCACCUCCCGAAGUGAUCACGGCCCAGUAGUAUAGCAUGGCAGACGGACAAGAGUGUAGGGCCAUUGAUGGAACACUAGCAUCCUAUACUAAGCAGUAGGAUAGCAGGUAAGGGUAACAACUGUAGCAACAAUGACAGGCUAUGCAGUAGAAUAGGAUUAACCGAAAGCAGUAACAUGCUACACUACUCCAAUGCAAGCAAUAGAGAAGAAUAGGCGAUAUCUGGUGAUCAAGGGGGGCUUGCCUGGUUGCUCUGGCAAGUAGGGGUUGUCUUCGAUGUAGUCGAACACACGGACAUCAGCAGCGGUCUCGGAUUCUACCGGAAAGAAGUAACGGAGGGGGAAUACAAUAAAUAAUAGAGCAAUCAAAGCAUUACAAAGCAUAACAAGGCAAUGCGCGGUACUAGAGGUGACCUAACACAGUAGGAGGGGAUACCGGCGAAGGGGGGAAACAUCCGAGAAAGUAUCCCCAGUGUUUCACGUUUUCGGGCAAAUAAACCGGAGGGGGAAAGUUGUGUGUUCGCUAUGCUAGGAAUGUGUGGCGGACGAACGGGUUGCGUAUUCGGAUACGUCUCAUCGUUCUGAGCAACUUUCAUGUAUAAAGUUUUUUCAUCCGAGUUACGAUUUAUUUUAUAUGAUUUUUCGAAGUUUAAAUCAAUUUCUAGAAUUACUAAUCUAUUAUUAAUAUGAAAAUCAAAUAGCGAAAAUUCUAAGUGCACCCGGUGCAGUGCACCCGGUGCAGUGCACCCAGAGUGCAACAGGGGUUGACGAUGGGGCCAGUCAACUGCCCAGUCAGCAGUUGACUGGUCCAUGGUUGAAUAGUCAAUGGGUCUGGUGGGACCCACAUGUCAGUGCCUUAUCUAUUGCUUAUCUAUUUUUAUUUUAUUCUAAUUCCUUAAUUCUUUUCUUCUUCUUUUUAAUAGGCCGGCCCCAUGUGAAGUGGCUCGGGCCACGGUUGGGUGGCUGGGAACGCACACAUGCGCUCCCAGAGAGACGCCGACGGCGACGACGCAUGACGAGGAGGCGCAGUGCAGGGGCGAACGAGAUGGGCGAGGCCGGCGAGGCCAGCGCGCGGUCAGCUAGUCGGGGUGAGUGGCGGACGGAGCCGACGAGGGCGAGUGGCGGCGCAGGAGAGGAGCAGCAGCGCCGGGGGAAGUGGGGCACGAGCGGGCGGUCCGGCGCAACAGAGCAACGCGGUAGCGACGGCCGGAGACGGGUGCGACUAGUCGCGGCGGGGCCAGCAGCAGCGGCUCGAGCCAGCGAGCCACAGCAGAACACAGCAGCGCAACGGGGCGUAGUAGUGGGGGUGAGCAGGGUCGAUGAGGGGACUGAGGCAGCUGCGGGGCACGGCCGGCGAGCGACGCGAACGACCACGGCUAGCGGACGCGGGACACGGCCAGGGAGUGCCCCUGGGGCGGCCAGGACGCCGUGAGCGCGACCACACAGUGGUGAGCGACAGUGGUGAGCGCGAGCUCCGGCGCGGCGGCGUACAAGUUCUACGACGACGGAUUCGACAUGAAAAAAGGGGGGAAUCGGUGGAGGUGAUCACCACGGAGCUCGUGGACGUGGUCAGGAGGUCGGGGCGCUCGGGAGGCGGCGCAUCUGACGACGAACAUCGGUGGCCGUGGCGAAGAAGACGGGCGAUGGCGAGCUUCCGGUGCGUCCGAGCUCGAACCGAUGCACGUAGUCGGUGGAGGCGGAGGCGCUGAAGCUCCAGGGCAUGCUCUCGGGUGACGGGGAUGCCGAUGGCCGCGGGAUCGACGCAACAACGACGACCAUGAGCUUCAGGCGACAAACAAACGAAAGAGAGAGAGCACGAGAGGAUAAGUGACGAUUAGGGUUUGUCUAUGGGGUUGGGGGUCUUCUUAUCCAUCUGCAGGGUACUCCAGAUGAUUGACACGGCGACAAUCGGCGGCGUGGACGGUGUGCGUGCGUGCACAGCACCAUGGCCUCCUCUGCGCUGUACAGAGGUGGGAGAAAAGCCUUUGUGGGCUGGGCCAAAACACUAUAGCUACAUAGAGCCCACCAGCACAGGAGCUUGUUAUUUUUUUUCCUUUUACUGAUUUUCCUAUUAUGUUUUCUUUUAGUCUCUAAUUUAUUUACUAUUCUAAAAAGAUAAAAGUAGUUCCUGAUUUAGAUAACUAAAUAUACUACUGCCAUAUUUAACUAUGGCACCCAAAUAAAAUAGUUUAGUAUUUUACUAAAAAUAAAAGGCAUUUAUUUAAUUGUUUAAGAUGUUGUUUUAUUUAUUGUAGUGUAUUAAAAUAAUUUAUAAAAAUGUGGUUUCACCACCAUAAUCAUCUAGGAUUUAUUUGCUACAUUUCGAGCACUUUAGAUUUAAUAUUUGAAAACUUUUAUUGUUUGCUUGAUUUUGAAUUUGAAUUUGAAUCGGUUUCGAACUAACUCGAGUUUAUCAACAGUAACCGAGGUGACAUGGCACCAUCAGCAGAGUUUUACUGUAGCUUGAUUAUCCGGGCGUCACAAUAGGAUAGCCAUACACAUUGAGAAAUAAUAUAUAGCGUUGAGCACCAUGUUUAAGUAGAGAUUACAACGGGUAAAAGAGGGGUUACAGCACUGCAUAGAGGGGGGAAGAGUUGGUGAUGAGGGCGGUGAAGUUGUUGGUGUAGAUUGCGGUGAUGAUGAUGGCCCCGACGGCACUCCGGUGCCACCAGAAGCGAUGGGGAGAGAGCCCCCCUCCUUCUUCUUCCUCCUUGACCUUCUCCCUAGAUGGGAGAAGGGUUUCCCCUCUGGUCCUUGGCCUCCAUUGCGUGGGAGGGUUAAGAGCCCCUCUGAGAUUGGAUCUGUCUCUCUGUUUCUGCGUUCUUUGAUUCUGCCCUUUCACCGUUUCUUAAAUUCCUGGAGAUCCGUAACUCCGAUUGGGCUCAAAUUUUAACACGAUCUCUAUCCGGAUAUUAAAUUUCUUCCGGGAAAGAAGGGCAUCAACUGCCUUACGGGGUGGCCACGAGGGCCCAGGGAGCGCCUGACCCCCUGGGGCGCGCCCCCCUGCCUUGUGGCCCCCUCGGGUAUCGUCUCGCGUUCAUUCUUCUUCCCAAAAUUCACAUAUAUUCCAAAAAAAUCUCCGUCUGUUUUUAUCCCGUUUGGACACCGUUUGAUAUGGAUUUUCUGCGAAACAAAAAACAAGCAACAAACAGAAACUGGCACUGGGCACUAGAUCAAUAUGUUAGUCCCAAAAAUAGUAUAUAAAGUUGCUAAAAAUAUAUAAAAAUUGUAGAAUAUUGGCAUGGAACAAUCAAAAAUUAUAGAUACGAUGGAGACGUAUCACGGAGCGAUGCCUACAUGCUAGGCUCAAGCAUCGCAUGGUUAGCUUGACGGUUCUGGAGUGGGCUCGAAAGAACCAAUGUGCUAGGUUGGCAAAUCUGAGGGAGGGUGAUGCCAACACCAAAUUCUUCCACCGUCGCAUCAAUGCCCGUAGGCGAAAAAACCACAUUCACUGGUUAAAGCAUGCUCAAGGUUGGGUGACUGAGCAUAAGUAAAAAGAGAAGAUCAUCCACGACCACUUCUCCGAGGUCAUGGGGUGGGCAAGCACGAGUAAGAAUGAUUUCAAUGGGAUGAAUUGGACAUCGAGAACCAUGCCUUGCAAGACCUCUGACUCCGCCAUCACUGAGGAGGAGGUUUGGAAGGCUAUAAAGUAGAUGCCUAGUGAUAAGGCGCCGAGUCCAGAUGGAUUCACGGGGAUGUUCUUCAAGAAGUGCUUGGGAACCAUCAAGCAUUCGAUCAUGGGGGUCAUUCAACGAUUCGAUUCUCUGCACACCUCCAACCUCCAGUGGCUAAAUUCGGCCAACGUUAUUUUGUUGCCAAAGAAGGAUGGUGCGGAAGGCAUCUCUGACUAUAGGCCCAUUAAUCUCAUCCACGCCAUCGCUAAAAUUAUUGCCAAGAUUCUCUCGCUUCGGCUUGCGCCUCACAUGGAUGAUCUUGUCUCCAACGCCCAGAGUGCAUUCAUCGAAAGGAGAAGUAUUCACAACAACUUCAUGUAUGGUCGAAACUUCGCCCGACGUCUUCACAAAUGCAAAACACCCGCACUCCUCUUCAAGCUUGAUAUUAAGAAGGCGUUUGACUCGGUCAAGUGGGGAUACAUCUUAGAGAUUCUCCAGUGGUUGGGCUUCCCACCCAAAUUUCGGGCUUGGAUUGUUGCGUUGUUAUCAUCUUUUUCAUCUCGGAUUAUGUUAAAUGGGUUGCCCGACACAUCGACAAUCUUGCCUACUGCAAAUGCCAUUAUUAAGGACAUAUCAACAUACUACCUCCUUUCCGGUUUAUAAGGCUUGUGCAUAUUCCUAGAUCUAUACUUUGACAAACAUAAGAUGACUUAUAUAGUCUAAAUAUUACACCAUUAGAAAUUAUACGAUUUGAAGUUUCUAAUGAUACAUAAGAACAUUUAGAUCAUUACUUUAUUUUAGUGAUCUAUACGCUUGUAUUUCUUUACGGAGGGAUACUACAUAUAUCCUUUCAUGACAUCACAACCAUCCUGUUGUUUCCAGAUUCUUGCCUUGCCAAACCAACCAGCUCGCUGCCAUUUUGCCUCGAAGAGGAAGUGAUGGCAUAUGGCACCAACAAAACGGAAUGGUAUAAGCUGGACGUAUCGGGUGGGGGAAAUAAUGUUAGGCCGCCGAAUAUAGAUCCUCCUCGCACACGUUAUUCCAAGUUCCUCUGUCUCAUAUUCCCUUUAAAAAAAAGUUCGCCUGUCUCAUCACUCCCAGAACUGUUGACGCUCCAUCAUUCCUCAAUCCUCGCCUUUGUGGGUUGUGGCCGAGAUGUACUACUCAGAUUCCUUCCCUUUCUCCCAAGGACAAAUAAUAGGAUGUGCUUUAUCUGAAAGUUACCUUUCACUGCUCCUGCUUUAUGUACCCUCGGUCCUGCCCCGAGAUGCAAUUGUCAGCCGCUCGAUCGAUCGCUGGAUAUUACUAAAGGAGCACACAGGAUUAGGUGACAGCCGAGCAGGAUAGUCCAGGCACAGGCAUAGAUCGAGAACAUGGAGACCAGCAGCAGUGAGAAGCGUGUAGGGGGAAUCAACGAGUUCGUCUCGAUCCGAUGCAGUGCAGUUCGACCACGUGCGUGCAAACUGUACUACAGCAAGAUCAUGUCAGAUCACAAAAUUAUCAGUAGAUGAUAUGUUCUGCCGUCUCGGUCCGAUGCAGUUCGACUCGACCACGUGCGUGCAAACUGUACUUACAACAAGAUCAUGUCAGAUCACGCAAUUAUCAGUGAUAUGAUCCGCCGUCUCGAUUCAUAUCAUGCGUACGGUCCCAGAACGCAGAGGGUUGGUUGUUAACUAACGCCGAAAACUUGCGUCACAAACGUUAAUUAGCAUAACCCUUACUAACCCAAGGGGUCUACAUGCUGUUAGAAGCUUCAGAAAAAGGGCGGUUCCACUGAUUAGUGCCCGUAUGCAUGCAGUGGGGGUUACGGUACUUUAGAGAAGAACGGAAAGGUGACAAUGGCGGCAGAGCGCUUCUUUCUCCCCCUUGAGAAGUAAACAAAACGGGCGAGGUCUCAUGCGGACACACAGGGGAAUUCCCGAGCGCAAAGCGAUCAGAAACAUUGUUGCAAGGGACAAGGUAGCUUCUGCGGCCUGAUCUCGUCGCAUUCCGUUCACAUCGAUUUUACUGUGGCUCUUGUAGGAGUAACUGUCCGACAAUCACGGCCGGCAACCAAGCAUCAACUGGUUGUGCUGCAGGUAAGGAAUGGAACGAGAUGCUAGUACUGUAUUUGGUUAUGUUCAUGCUGGGGUCGCGGAUUUUGCAUCUUUAGGACUUUAGCCAGUAAGUAAUUAGCUCUGGUUGUACGUACUUGUCUUUGGGACAAAGGUCUUCGGCUGGACGCCUCGAACCGCAUACGGCAUACUAAUCAUGCAUAAUCAUGGCGAGCGGCAACAUACGGAGCGACACAAUCUUGUGGCACUUGAUUAGCCGCAGCUACUUACUUAACCUGCUUUCUCCCAAGACUCUCGGCGAUGGUUCAGCUAACGGUUCGUGCAGUGCGCCAAGCAGGCCAUGGCCUGGAGCUCAACACACAGGCGUUCAGAGGCUCAGAGCUGUCGCGUUCAUCGAAAGUAGGAGUGGAGUGGACGUUUCUGCGUACAUCCAUUUUCAGUAGGGCACAGGGCCCAUAUAUUGCACACCAUCUCGGCUGUGCCCACAUUUUUUCUUCUUCUUUAUUUUUUGAGCGAAGGCCGUGCCCACAUAUGUGGACCGACUCUGCGUUGAAGCCGUGCUGAAGAAUAGUUCCUUUUCCCGGGCUGGACCGAUAGCGCCAACCCUGUCAUCAUCAAUCGGUUUGAUGGGCGACAACGAUUUUCUUUAGCAAAUGGCUGAAAAAUUGCUGUCACCCGGUUUCGCUGUUGCUCCGUUAUGUGUCGGUGGUACACAGAGCUAGCUCACCCGAGCAGUAGCCAAAAUGGACUACGGGAAUUCUCCCAUCUGCUUAUCCGUUCCUCUAUUCUCAACUGUGUGUCUAACUCUGAAAAGAGAAGAGAGGGCCUCUGACCUUUUUAUUUUAUUUAUUUAUAAUAUACUUCUUUUGUUUUUAAAUAUCUAUUUUUCUAGAGAUUUUGAAUGGACUACCAUAUACAGAUGUAUAUAGACAUAUUUUAAAGUGUAGAUUCACUUAUUUUGCUCCGUAUACAGUCACUUCUUGAAAUCUCUAGAAAGACAAAUAUUUAGAAGCGAAGGAAGUACUACUGAUGUAGAAACUCGGUCCCAUGCCGGAGCUUUUUUGGUUAGCAUAUUCCGAGCUGAAACUUGUCUUAGGACAUCUCUUAGCGAACCCUUAAAUGUUAACUCAUCAAACAUUUUGUUAAAUUUUCAAGUUUAAGGAGUUAAUGUCGGGGAACGCAGUAAUUUCAAAAAAAAAUCCUACGCACACGCAAGAUUCAUCUAGGUGAUGCAUAGCAACGAGAGGGUAGGGUGUUGUCCACGUACCCUCGUAGACCGUAAGCAGAAGUGUUAUGACAACGCGGUUGAUGUAGUCGUAUGUCUACACGAUCCGACCGAUCUUAGCACCGAAGGUACGGCACCUCCGCGAUCUGCACACGUUCAGCUCGGUGACGUCCUACGAACUCUAGAUCCAGCAGAGGUCGAGGAAGAGUUUCGUCAGCACGACUGCAUGAUGACGGUGAUGAUGAAGUUACCGACGCAGGGCUUCGCCUAAGCACUACAAUGAUAUGACCGAGGUGAAAAUCUAUGGAGAGGGGCACCGUACACGGCUAAACAAUCAACUUGUGUGUCUAUAGGGUGCCCCUGUCGAUGUCAAAACUGGCGGAUCUUGGGUAGGGGGUCCCGAACUGUGUGUCUAAGGCCGAUGGUAACAGGAGGCAGGGGACACGAUGUUUUACCCAGAUUCGGGCCCUCUUGAUGGAGGUAAUAUCCUACGUCCUGCUUGAUUGAUAUUGAUGAGUAUGAGGAUUACAAGAGUUGAUCUACCACGAGAUCGUUGUGGCUAAACCCUAGAAGUCUAGCAUGUAUGAUUGUGAUUGUCUCUACUGACUAAAUCAUCCGGUUUAUAUAGACACCGGAGGGGCCUAGGGUUAUACAAAGUCGGUUACAGAGAAAGAUCAUAAUACAUCCGGACGCCUAGCUUGCCUCCCACGCAAAGGAGAGUCCCAUCCGGACACGGGAGAAAGUCUUCUAUCUUGUAUCUUCAUGGCCCAAUAGUCCGGCCCAUGUCACACAGGCCAGACGCCUGAGGACCCCUUAAUCCAGGACUCCAUCAGUAGCCCUCGAACCAUGCUUCAAUGACGAUGUGUCCGGCGUGCUGAUAGUCUUCGGCAUUGCAAGGUGGGUUCUUCCUCCGAACACUUCAAAGCGUUUGAUCCGAAGAGUCAUACUCGGCUUUCCAUUUAUUGUCGUACCCAUUGGCUUCUGCGCCUCCACCGCUACGGCUUCCACGUGUCAAGCGAACACGAAAGGUCAUAGUAAUUUUUGCACAUACCACCCUGGCCAUGUAAGAAGGGUGUCUAUUUAAAGGGACUGGAUCUCAGAUCCUAUUCCACAUCGAGCGGAAAAUCCUUAGAGCUUGCUAGGAGAAACCAUUCUAGCAUGGCUAGCGUUCCCAGUUCUUCCUCCCGUCCUCAUGGCUCCGAAAAAGGCGAUUGGGAGAGAUAUNNNNNNNNNNNNNNNNNNNNNNNNNNNNNNNNNNNNNNNNNNNNNNNNNNNNNNNNNNNNNNNNNNNNNNNNNNNNNNNNNNNNNNNNNNNNNNNNNNNNNNNNNNNNNNNNNNNNNNNNNNNNNNNNNNNNNNNNNNNNNNNNNNNNNNNNNNNNNNNNNNNNNNNNNNNNNNNNNNNNNNNNNNNNNNNNNNNNNNNNNNNNNNNNNNNNNNNNNNNNNNNNNNNNNNNNNNNNNNNNNNNNNNNNNNNNNNNNNNNNNNNNNNNNNNNNNNNNNNNNNNNNNNNNNNNNNNNNNNNNNNNNNNNNNNNNNNNNNNNNNNNNNNNNNNNNNNNNNNNNNNCAGGAUUAACCUCUUUUACUGGUGAAGCCUUGGCGAAAAUUUUUCCCAAUCCAGCCAGGAGGGGAGCGAGUGUGCUUUACAUCCUUAAUAAGAGGCGUCGGGUUUCCAAUCCACCCCUUCCUCCGAGGUCUUCUAGAGUACUACGGCCUCCAACUGCACAAUCUCACGCCGGGUUCCAUUCUGCACAUCGCGGGCUACGUCGCUCUUUGCGAGCUAUUCCUGGGCCGCGAGGCUCAUUUCGAGCUAUGGAGGAAACUGUUCUGCCUCGUCCCUCGCUCCCAAAAGGGAUCUAUAUUUGAGGUGGGCGGCGCCGAAAUAUGGCGCAUAGCCGGGACCGGAUGCUUAUCCGGCACACCGAAGAAGGCGUCCAAAGAGUGGCUCUCAUAGUGGUUCUAUAUUGAGGAUGUCGCUCUCCCUGACCCAGUCCGAAUGGGCCCUCCAAAAUUUACCAGUGCUCCAUUGAAAAAACGCCACAUCUGGCGCCCUCGGAGCCUUGAGGAGGAAGAUAGCGUUGUCGGUGUCAAAACCGGCGGAUCUCUGGUAGGGGAUCCCGAACUGUGCGUCUAAGGUCGAUGGUAACAGGAGGCAGGGGACACGAUGUUUACCCAGGUUUAGGCCCUCUCUAUGGAGGUAAUACCCUACUUCCUGCUUGAUUGAUCUUGAUGAAUAUGGGUAUUACAAGAGUUGAUCUACCACGAGAUCGAGACGGCUAAACCCUAAAGCCUAGCCUGUAUGACUAUGGUAAUGAUUGUCCCCCUAUCCGGACUAAGCCCUCCGGUUUAUAUAGACACGGGAGGGGACUAGGGUUGUACAAGGUCGGUUACAGAGAAAGGAAUCUUCAUAUUGGGUCGCUAAGUUUGCCUUCUACGCCAAGGAGAGUCCCAUCCGGACACAGGAGAGAGUCUUCGGUCUUGUUUCUUCACAGCCCAUUAGUCCGGCACAUAUCCAACAGGCCGGACGCCCGAGGACCCCUUAGUCCAUGACCCCCUUAAUAGCCCCUGAACCAGGCUUCAAUGACGAGGUGUCCGGCGUGCAGAUUGUCUUCGACAUUGCAAGGCGGGUUCCCCUUUCCGAAUACUUCAGGAUAGUCUUCAGGCGAAACGACAGUGUCCGUACCUGCAACACAAGUACCACAACCGUAGAGUAUAGUAUUUUACGAGACCAAUCUGCAGAUAAUUUUUAUAACAUGACAUCACGCUCGCCCGAUUAUUUAUUUCAAACCGUUUCCUAUCCCACCGUUCCAUGUUUCGAGGCGUGGUUGUCAUUGGCACGUCAUGUCGAAGCAGAGAUCGUGUCCCCUUAUUGCGGGAUUCUCAUCAAUACGAGCAUGGGUAACCCAACCGUUCUGUUGAAAAGAUUCCUUAGUAAUAGGCAAGUCUUCAGGCUCAGGAGGAGGCGUUCAAUACCCGGUGCCUUUAUAAAGGAACCAAGGGCCGUCUUUUUACGCCAAACCUCUCCUCAGCCUUUCCAACCUCAAGUUCUAGCACCCAAGGUUCGACUUCAUUGCUCCAAGCUUCCCCAUCAUGUCUGGGCCCAUCCCUCAAGGUCGAUGGGUGGCUUCCUCCAUUACAAAGGAGGAUGUCGCAAAGCUUCGGGCGGCCAGAUACCUGACCGCGGAGAUCCCCCACAGGCUUCCUGCUCAAGGACAGGUUAUUCCGACCCCCAAAUCCGGCAAGAGGGUCGCAUUCAUCUCUCACUUCCUCCGAGGGCUAGGGUUCGCUCUCCACCCCUUUGUCCGGGGGCUAAUGUUUUAUUACGGACUAGAUUUUCACGAUCUAACUCCGGAUUCUCUCCUCCACGUCUCAGCGUUUAUCAUCACGUGCGAGGCCUUCCUCCGAACCCCCCACACUUCGGCCUAUGGCUCAAGACCUUUAGUGUGAAGCCGAAGGUAGUCGACGGGGAAUAGGCGAAGUGUGGCGGUGUUGUAGUAAGCAAGCUUACCAACACUCUCUGGCCAAAAGGCUCUUUCACCGAAACUUCCAACCAAUGGCAGCGAGAGUGGUUUUACAUCACGGAACACCAUAGUACCAAGUGGGCAGCUAUACAUGCGUUCUGUUCCGGCCCUCCGUUACAGCUUGCAUCAUGGAUCAAUAAGGGGAUGGGCGUGGGAUCAGUUGAUGAAGUGCAGACUCUACAGAGCCGCAUCCGAACCCUUCUUUCUGUCCAGCAAAUCACUUCUAAACAGGUCCACAUACCAAACUAUAAACGGAUUCACACCCCAAUCUAUUGAAACCCGUACAGAAAGCAGGUAAAAGUGUUAAAAGCUAACAAAAGGUGAACUAAGCUAACUACAGGAGGAUGAGAAGGACCAAAACUAAUGACAUCUAACCACACAGCUGAAUAACACUCUGAGCACUAAAAUACUAAAAAAUUGCAAUUGCUGAUGCACUGAGUCAACUAUACAAAGGGCAAAAAUACCACUAAUAAUUACAGUGUAAAACCAUGGAAAAUGCACGGUAAUUCCACUAAAAAUACACUGUAAUUCCACUUGCAAAAUACAGAGCAAAAAUCCCUAAAAGUACACUAUAAAUCCACUAAGACUUACAAUGUAAAUUCCACUAAUAAUUACAGUGUAAAUACCAUGGAAAAUGCACAGUAAUUCCACUAAAAAUAGACUGUAAUUCCACUUGCAAAAUACAGAGCAAAAAUCCACUAAAAGUACACUGUAAAUCCACUAAGACUUACAAUGUAAAUUCCACUAAUAAUUACAAUGUAAAUACCAUGGAAAAUGCACAGUAAUUCCACUAAAAAUACACUGUAAUUCCACUUGCAAAAUACAGAGCAAAAAUCCACUAAAAGUACACUGUAAAUCCACUAAGACUUACAGUGUAGAUUCCACUAAUAAUUACAGUGUAAAUACCAUGGAAAAUGCACAGUAAUUUCACUAAAAAUACACUAUAAUUCCACUAAAAAUGCCACUUGCAAAUACAGGGCAAAAAUCCACUAAAAGUACACUGUAAACCCACAGAUUUACAGUGUAAAUUCCACUGUAAUUCCACUAAUAAUUACAGUGUAAACCCACUGAAAAUGCACUCUAAUUCCACUAAAAGUACACUGUAAAUUCCACUUAAAACACACAGAAGAAUUACACUGUAAUACCACUGAGAAAGUACUAAAUUUAACCCCAGAGAAGCACCACCAGAGAGGGCGAUUCCUCCAUGAUCAAGGACACGAACAUGGUUGGAGAAGCAAAAAAAUCACAGGUAAACACCCCCUCCUAUGCAUUCAUCAGCUCCUGUCGUCUCUCGUCUCUCUCCUGCCUGAACAGAUCUGGAAGAAAGAACAUACCUGUAGUGGAUAUUACAUAGGCUAAGUUAAGCACUAAAUCUACAUAGAUCGAAAAUAAGAACAUAAUCGUACAAAAGCUUGAACCAGGAGAAACUCUAGGAACAACUAGGAUAUGGUUGCAUGAAUUUGUAGUCUAUGAUCACAGGAAAACUGAAAACUAGAUGCCCAGAUCAUAGAUUUCUGAAUUUGCAGAAAUAAACACACUACAAGGAUCAAAACAAGCUCACGAAGCUAGCAAUUCCAUUUUAGGAAAACUAGUUAAAAACAUACAAGGGGGAAGAUUGCCCGAGUUGAGAGAAAAUAUGACUAUUUUCGCAAACUUUGGAAACUAAAAACCUAAACACUGUUAAGAAACCUUGAUUACUGGUUUUAGACACUUUCUACCCGUUCUUAAAUAGCUGUGACUGAAGGACUGAAUUUAAGUAACUUUGGAAGUGCAAACUACUAUGAUCUGAUGCUUGCUUACAUUGAAUAUUGAUAGGCAUUAACAUAAGCACUAAAAAAUGAAAUUAACAGAAAAAGGACAAACACAAUCAGGCUAAAAACAUUCACACUAGAAGGCACUCACACUAGUAGCAACAAACAAAAAGAAUCUAUAGAACUGAUAACAUAUUUACAUUUCAGAACUAAAAGGACAAAUUUGUGACCGUUAGAUCAAAUUACUGGGAC
This 18029-nucleotide long non-coding RNA is filed under the name Triticum aestivum (bread wheat). RNAcentral's name for it is "long non-coding RNA (TAES_LNC025326)". Lineage: Eukaryota; Viridiplantae; Streptophyta; Magnoliopsida; Poales; Poaceae. The record is from RNAcentral.